UCAACAGUUAUAAACUUUCAUUUAUGUUG
RNAcentral lists this small RNA (29 nucleotides) under Bombyx mori (domestic silkworm). RNAcentral describes it as "ovarian small RNA-24581". Lineage: Eukaryota; Metazoa; Arthropoda; Insecta; Lepidoptera; Bombycidae. The record is from RNAcentral.